GACGAACGCUGGCGGCGUGCUUAACACAUGCAAGUCGAACGGAAAGGCCCUGCUUGCGGGGUACUCGAGUGGCGAACGGAUGAGUAAGACGUGGGUGGUCUGCCCUGCUCUUAGGGAUAAGUUUGGGAGAGUGGGUCUAAUACCGGCUGGGAGCCAUCUUUAGUGGGGUGGUUGGAAAGUUUUUUCGGGGUAGGAUGAGCUCGCUGGCUAUCAGCUUGCUGGAGGGGUAAAGGCCUACCAAGACGGCGAAGGGUAGCCGGCAUGAGAGGGUGUACGGACACUCUGGACCUCUGCUACGGGCCAGACUCCUGCGGGAGGCGGCAGGGGGGAAUAUUGGACAGUGCGCGGACGCCUGAGGCAGGGACGCCGCGUGAGGGAUGAAGGCUGUCGUGUUGUAAAAUCCAAUCGCUAAGGACGAAGGCAUGUUGUGACGGUACCUAGACAAGAAGCUCCGGCUAACUACGUG
RNAcentral lists this ribosomal RNA (466 nucleotides) under uncultured bacterium. RNAcentral describes it as "partial 16S ribosomal RNA". It matches the Rfam family "Bacterial small subunit ribosomal RNA", at positions 28 to 507 of the family's 1533-position model. The record is from RNAcentral.